UGGGGAAUCUUGCGCAAUGGGCGGAAGCCUGACGCAGCAACGCCGCGUGUGGGAAGACGGCUUUCGGGUUGUAAACCACUUUCAGGGGGGACGAAGCUUCCGAGGUUAAUAGCCUACGGGGUGACGGUACCCCCAGAAGAAGCCCCGGCUAACUACGUGCCAGCAGCCGCGGUAAUACGUAGGGGGCGAGCGUUGUCCGGAAUCAUUGGGCGUAAAGCGCGUGUAGGCGGCUUGAUAAGUCUGGUGUGAAAUCUUGGGGGCUCAACCCCAAGCCUGCACUGGAUACUGCCAAGCUUGAGUCCGGGAGGGGAGAGCGGAAUUCCUAGUGUAGCGGUGAAAUGCGCAGAUAUUAGGGAGAACACCGGUGGCGAAGGCGGCUCUCUGGAACGGUACUGACGCUGAGACGCGAAAGCGUGGGGAGCGAACAGGAUUAGAUACCCUGGUAGUCCACGCCGUAAACGAUGGGCACUAGAUGUGGGCGGUGUCGACUCCGUCCGUGUCGAAGCUAACGCAUUAAGUGCCCCGCCUGGGGAGUACGGCCGCAAGGCUA
This 550-nucleotide ribosomal RNA is filed under the name uncultured bacterium. RNAcentral's name for it is "bacterial SSU rRNA". It matches the Rfam family "Bacterial small subunit ribosomal RNA", at positions 355 to 896 of the family's 1533-position model. The record is from RNAcentral.